This 742-nucleotide long non-coding RNA is filed under the name Gossypium raimondii (Peruvian cotton). RNAcentral describes it as "long non-coding RNA (GRAI_LNC009144)". Lineage: Eukaryota; Viridiplantae; Streptophyta; Magnoliopsida; Malvales; Malvaceae. The record is from RNAcentral.
AAAAAUAAUAAUAAAUAAAAUAUUAUGAAGAAAAAGGAUAAAAGGUAAACAGGGAGGACUGACGGUGACGGUAGGACGGUGACGGUGACUGGAGACGCGGCGGUUAGCGUAAGGGAGGGCUACACACGGUGUUUGGUUGGCAACGGGAAUGGUCGACAAUGUGGGGGGCUAGUCAUGGGGAAAACGGAGAGGGCAAAGGAGAGGGGUAGGGGCGAGGGGAUGUUUGUGUGGUGGUUAGGGAUGGCGACGAGGUUGGAGUGUAUGGGUAGAGGCUGUGAGGGGCGGACGGAUGGUUAGAGGUGGGGGCUUUGUUGUCGAAAGGGGAGAGGGAAAGGGGUACUACGACAUUGAAUGAAGAAUGGGGUGUUGGGGGUGGUAGAAAAGGGGAGAGCAAGGAAAAAGGGAAGGGAGAGUCGCGAGGGAAAGGGAGAGGGAUGAGUCGUUGGAAAAGUGGGUUGUUUAAAGGUGGUCGGUCUGGUGAGAAGGGGAUAAGCUGGGGUGGCUAGACUGGCAAUGGGAAAUGAGAACAGUGGUUCGGGAGAAAAAUAAAGAAGAAGACAAAGUGAAAGUUUUUUAGGUUUUUUGGGUUAAAAAAAAGGACACGGUUAUGUAACAGCUCGUGUUGGGUUAGAUGGAAGUAUCACAUGCUUGUGUUGGGUAUUCUCAUCCCGUGUGCAAGUCAAAAUUUUAGCUUAGUUUUUACUCAACCUCGGACACGCCCGUGUGUCCAGGCCGUGUGUCU